This 110-nucleotide small RNA is filed under the name Bacteroidetes bacterium MedPE-SWsnd-G2. Its description in RNAcentral is "6S RNA". It matches the Rfam family "6S-Flavo RNA". The record is from RNAcentral. Lineage: Bacteria; Pseudomonadati; Bacteroidota.
ACUCAACGUUAAUUCUUUAAAAAGGGUGAGUUUAAGUUGUAAAAUCGAGCUGCCAUUUUGAGCAGAUUUUUGAUCAGCUUGUUAGCCCUAAACUUGUUUUUAAGGAGUUU